RNAcentral lists this ribosomal RNA (283 nucleotides) under uncultured microorganism. RNAcentral's name for it is "partial 16S ribosomal RNA". It matches the Rfam family "Bacterial small subunit ribosomal RNA", at positions 9 to 295 of the family's 1533-position model. The record is from RNAcentral.
GAGUUUGAUCUUGGCUCAGAUUGAACGCUGGCGGCAUGCCUUACACAUGCAAGUCGAACGGUAACAGGUCUUCGGACGCUGACGAGUGGCGAACGGGUGAGUAAUACAUCGGAACGUGCCCAGUCGUGGGGAUAACUACUCGAAAGAGUAGCUAAUACCGCAUACGAUCUGAGGAUGAAAGCGGGGGACCGUUCGGCCGUCGCGCGAUUGGAGCGGCCGAUGGCAGAUUAGGUAGUUGGUGGGAUAAAAGCUUACCAAGCCGACGAUCUGUAGCUGGACGUGA